RNAcentral lists this ribosomal RNA (903 nucleotides) under Gloeocystidiellum porosum. Its description in RNAcentral is "LSU rRNA". It matches the Rfam family "Eukaryotic large subunit ribosomal RNA", at positions 23 to 935 of the family's 3401-position model. The record is from RNAcentral. Lineage: Eukaryota; Fungi; Basidiomycota; Agaricomycetes; Russulales; Gloeocystidiellaceae.
ACCCGCUGGAACUUUAAGCAUAUCAAUAAGCGGAGGAAAAGAAACUAACAAGGAUUCCCCUAGUAACUGCGAGUGAAGCGGGAAAAGCUCAAAUUUAAAAUCUGGCGGUCUUUGGCCGUCCGAGUUGUAGUCUGGAGAAGCGUUUUCCGUGCUGGACCGUGUACAAGUCUCCUGGAACGGAGCGUCGUAGAGGGUGAGAAUCCCGUCUUUGACACGGACUACCAGUGCUUUGUGAUGCGCUCUCGAAGAGUCGAGUUGUUUGGGAAUGCAGCUCAAAAUGGGUGGUGAAUUCCAUCUAAAGCUAAAUAUUGGCGAGAGACCGAUAGCGAACAAGUACCGUGAGGGAAAGAUGAAAAGCACUUUGGAAAGAGAGUGAAACAGUACGUGAAAUUGUUGAAAGGGAAACGCUUGAAGUCAGUCGCGUCGACCGAGACUCAGCCUCGCCUUGGCGUGGUGUACUUCUCGGCCGACGGGCCAGCAUCAAUUUUGAUCCUCGGAAAAAGGCUUGGGAAAGGUGGCACCUUCGGGUGUGUUAUAGUCCCUCGUCGCAUACGGGGGUCGGGAUUGAGGUACUCAGCGCGCAAGCGCUCGGGAUGCUGGCGUAAUGGCUUUAAACGACCCGUCUUGAAACACGGACCAAGGAGUCUAACAUGCCCGCGAGUGUUCGGGUGGAAAACCCGUGCGCGUAAUGAAAGUGAAAGUUGGGAUCCCUGUCGUGGGGAGCACCGACGCCCGGACCAGACCUUCUGUGACGGAUCUGCGGUAGAGCGUGUAUGUUGGGACCCGAAAGAUGGUGAACUAUGCCUGAAUAGGGUGAAGCCAGAGGAAACUCUGGUGGAGGCUCGUAGCGAUUCUGACGUGCAAAUCGAUCGUCAAAUUUGGGUAUAGGGGCGAAAGACUAAU